GACGGAAGGUGCAAGCGUUGUUCGGAAUCACUGGGCGUAAAGGGUGCGUAGGCGGCUUGGUAAGUUGGGUGUGAAAGCCCCGGGCUCAGCCCGGGAAGGGCACUCGAAACUGCCGAGCUGGAGUGCCGGAGGGGAGAGUGGAAUUCCUGGUGUAGCGGUGAAAUGCGUAGAUAUCAGGAGGAAUACCGGUGGCGAAAGCGACUCUCUGGACGGCAACUGACGCUGAGGCACGAAAGCGUGGGGAGCAAACAGG
This 253-nucleotide ribosomal RNA is filed under the name uncultured bacterium. RNAcentral describes it as "partial 16S ribosomal RNA". It matches the Rfam family "Bacterial small subunit ribosomal RNA", at positions 524 to 776 of the family's 1533-position model. The record is from RNAcentral.